AUCAGUAUAGCAAAUACAUUUGGUUAUACACAAUAAAAAAACAAAAAUGAAGUUCAAAAAAAAUUCAAAGCAUACAUCCUAUGAUUGAAAAACAUUUUGGUCACAAAAUACUCACCCUUUACUGUCACGACCCAAAUCGAAGGGCAGCGACGGGUACCCGGUGCUUUACUCAACCGAGUACCAAUGUAACAUAAUAUACAAACUUAUACAUGUGACGUACAAGCCCACAAGGCCGACAUAACCAUUUGUAAACUCAAAACAUAGGCCGAUAAGACCAUACAAGUAUCUAUAAAUCUGACAUUUGUCUACAAGCCUCUAAGACUACAUAAAAUUAUAAAGGUCGGGGGCCCAUCAUACCAAUCAAUACAUUUCCAAAGCAUACUGACCAAAUAGGCAACUCCGGAGCAAGUGGAGUGCAUCAACACCUCCGCUGAGCUGAUAGCCUACUAGGGAGACUGUCAACCUAUCAAUCGGGACCUGCGGGCAUAAAACGCACCGUCCCCAGGCAAAAGGGACGUCAGUACAAAUAAAGUACUGAGUAUGUAAUGAAGGAAAGCAUAAGCUAGAACUGUAAUGUAAGGAGAGAUAGAGGAGAUACAACUUGGAACAUCUGAGCGCCUCUGGAGGCUACUGACAUGAAAUGCGUAAUACAUGUAUAUACAUAAACUUUUACAAACAUACACCUCUAUGGGGAUCAUCAUCAUCAUCAUAUCUUACCUGGCCUCAAAGAGGACUCGGUAAAAACGUACCCGGCCACAUGAAGCUCGGUAAACCCAACUGAUCAGUGGUUACACAAUAGGUGUCGUACCCGGCCGACAAUAGCGCGGCUCGGUGAGUAAAAUAGAUACAUAUAUAUAUAUAUAAUGCAUGCUCGACUCAUGAAAUCAUAUUCUAGACCUUUCGGAGUGACGUAAGGUCAUUUCACCUUCGAUUAACAUUAUGUACAUCAUACCAUCAAUAUGAACCUUAGUAGGAUUUAAGGAUCAUAUACACUUGUUUAGGAUAACUUUAACAUGGACAAUCUUAGUUUCUAGGAGUAGAUCCAUUAUGAAGUAGCGUAUCGUUUAUGUUCGUUUCAAUUUAGAUCAUGCCAAACGAAAUACAGAAGUGCCUUAACAUACCUUAACCAUGGUGAGUUCUUAAUACCUCUCAAGCAACUCUUCAAACAACUCAACCCAAUCUACCAUUGAAUAAGGAGAUUCAAACUAGUGUUGAAUAAAGGCUAAGUUUUCAACUUAAAUUUGUAGCUUUUUAUAUAAAUUCAGGCAGCAUCUCCCAUGUAAAAGAGUCUCCUACAAUACCAUAUACCAACCACAAUUACAAGAGAAAUUCAGCAAUACAUAAUUAUCAAUAACAAGACACCAUAAAAUAACAAAAAGUCAUAAUUAUUUGACGACGAGCGACAAGCUCCAAUUGAAAUUCGAAUACGCCAUAUCAUUCCUUAUAGAACUUUAACUUUAGCUUAGUAGCAUCAUUAACAUGAUAGUGAAUUCAUUCAUCAAUAUAUCCAGCCUUAUACCACAUAUCCAUACCAAAGAAAAUGAUCCACAACUUAAAUUAUUCUUAAUAAGCAACAUUAUUCUCUAGUUCAUGUCUAGUUUAUCCAUUUAACUCAACCGAUGUCAGUAUAACCUUAAGAACCUGUAGGAACACAAUAUAAUUACCUCCUACAGUAGGUUCAAGUCAAAUUCAAUGUUAUAUAUGGCUUAUAAUAGCUCAACACCCCCCAAUCAAUUCAUACCAAGAACGACGACUAUAGUAGUAUCCAACACCCCGAAAAUAUUAUAAAGAAUGACUAAUCCAUCAUUUCAAAAUUAUGUGGUGUUUCUCCAUACCAUUUAUCCUCGAAAAACUCCGUUAAAUUUCAGCAAAAUAUACAGCCCAAAAGCAACAUGAAACAGCCCACAAAACAGUCCAUUACAAACCAAAUAACUCGAACUCACGGCUUCCGAUCACCGUCCCGAUAGUUCUGACUAUUAUAAAAUGAAGUAAUCAACCUUACUUGAUAUUUAAGAUCCUGCAACCAGAAAUUAGGCAUUUUUAUGAACUUCAAAAUACCUUCCAAAACUCAAAUUAUAAAGAAAAAGAUAGGUAAUAUAGUGAUACUUAUGUCGUGAUUUUUUAUUAACUUCAAAAUACCUUCCAAAACUCAAAUCAUAAAGAAAAAGUGAGGUAAUAUAGUGAUACUUACGUCGUGGGGAUCGUUUUUGUGUUUUUGCUUCUUGAUUUCGUGUCCGGGAUGAUGGUAUUGUUUGGAACCCUUGUAGAGAGCUUAAGGGUGAUGUUAGGGGUCUUAUUUGGUCUUGAUCUCUGGAAAUAUGCUGAAAGAGACGAGAUAAAGGAGGUAAUCUCCAUUUUGUUGAAAAGGCAAAAGGUGCAACUUGGCA
Molecule: long non-coding RNA, 2387 nt
Filed under: Nicotiana benthamiana
Lineage: Eukaryota; Viridiplantae; Streptophyta; Magnoliopsida; Solanales; Solanaceae
Description: long non-coding RNA (NBEN_LNC041321)
Source: RNAcentral